GAUGAACGCUGGCGGCGUGCCUAAUACAUGCAAGUCGAGCGAACAGACGAGGAGCUUGCUCCUCUGACGUUAGCGGCGGACGUGUGAGUAACACGUGAAUAACCUACCUAUAAGACUGGGAUAACUUCGGGAAACCGGAGCUAAUACCGGAUAAUAUAUUGAACCGCAUGGUUCAAUAGUGAAAGACGGUUUUGCUGUCAUUUAUAGAUGGAUCCGCGCCGCAUUAGCUAGUUGGUAAGGUAACGGCUUACCAAGGCAACGAUGCGUAGCCGACCUGAGAGGGUGAUCGGCCACACUGGAACUGAGACACGGUCCAGACUCCUACGGGAGGCAGCAGUAGGGAAUCUUCCGCAAUGGGCGAAAGCCUGACGGAGCAACGCCGCGUGAGUGAUGAAGGUCUUCGGAUCGUAAGACUCUGUUAUUAGGGAAGAACAAAUGUGUAAGUAACUAUGCACGUCUUGACGGUACCUAAUCAGAAAGCCACGGCUAACUACGUG
Molecule: ribosomal RNA, 497 nt
Filed under: uncultured bacterium
Lineage: Bacteria
Description: partial 16S ribosomal RNA
Rfam family: Bacterial small subunit ribosomal RNA
Source: RNAcentral